GAUUCUCAAAUUUUUCAAUGAAUCGAAGAAGUUCGGAUUGAGUAUCAAAGCGCAAAUAAGAGCCGCCUUUAUAGUUGAAAACGGGUGGAGGAGCAGCGGAAAAGGAGGCAAUUUGUUUGCCGGAACGAGAGUGUUUAGAGUGCUUGCUUGCCAUUAGUAUGAAGAAAUAGGGGCUGUUUCAAAAGUUUGAAGGCUUUGGAAGAUUGUUUGAAGCUAAGAGUGAAGUAUGAAGUG
RNAcentral lists this long non-coding RNA (234 nucleotides) under Nicotiana benthamiana. RNAcentral describes it as "long non-coding RNA (NBEN_LNC012099)". Lineage: Eukaryota; Viridiplantae; Streptophyta; Magnoliopsida; Solanales; Solanaceae. The record is from RNAcentral.